RNAcentral lists this long non-coding RNA (723 nucleotides) under Linum usitatissimum (flax). Its description in RNAcentral is "long non-coding RNA (LUSI_LNC003661)". The record is from RNAcentral. Lineage: Eukaryota; Viridiplantae; Streptophyta; Magnoliopsida; Malpighiales; Linaceae.
UGUUUUCGGGUUUUUGCAGUUUUCCGUUGACUCAACUUGUCCCAGCAAGGAAGCCUGAUCCAGACAACAAAGAUGCUGGUGAUGACAACGAUGAUGCAACUAGUGAGGACGAUGAUGAUGAUGUACCUAGCGAAGGGGAUGGUUCUGGAGAUGACAAUGACGACCAAGAAGACGGCUCGAGCGAUGAUGGCGGGGGGAAGGAUGAACUGAAGGUCAAUGGCGAAGGUGGAAGUGAUGAAGAAGAAGAGGAUGAUGACGAGGAUGAUGAUGAUGAAGAUGAUGAGGACGAGGACGAUGAUGACGAGGAUGAUGACGAUGAGGAGGAUGUGGACGAAGAUGAUGACGAGGACGACAUCCCUCAGCCACCAACCAAGAAGAGGAAAUGAAGAGAAUGGAUGAGGAAGACUUAGCAGACUUCUGCCAUUGUUGUUCUAUUAAUUUGUAACAUGAAAUGGAUAUUAUUAAGGUUAUGUGUCUAGAACUAUAACAGCGAGUGAGUUCCAAGUAUCAGUGUUGUCCUAAUGUUUAAGCUACUGUGGAUUUGAUGUAGUUAUCAAUCUUUGCUCAUGUGAUUGGUGGUUGUGUCGGGUGAAAAAAAAGCUGUAGUUGGUGGUGAAGUAGUCAUGGUUUUGCAAGUGUGCUGUGGACUGAAUGAUUUGAAAUAAGGGAGGCAGUUGACUUGACAGAAACAAAGGUCAAAUCCUUAAUCCAAUGGGAUUAUCC